Molecule: ribosomal RNA, 477 nt
Filed under: uncultured bacterium
Lineage: Bacteria
Description: partial 16S ribosomal RNA
Rfam family: Bacterial small subunit ribosomal RNA
Source: RNAcentral
AGUGAACGCUGGCGGCGUGCCUAACACAUGCAAGUCGAACGGAUCUUAAGGGCUUGCUCUUAAGGUUAGUGGCGCACGGGUGAGUAACACGUAGCUAACCUGCCCCAUAGUAAGGGACAACAGUUGGACACGACUGCUAAUACCUUAUACUCCUUCUCUACCUAAGUAGAGUCGGGAAAGUUUUUUCGCUAUGGGAUGGGGCUGCGGCCUAUCAGCUUGUUGGGGAGGUAAUGGCUCACCAAGGCUAUGACGGGUAGCUGGUCUGAGAGGAUGAUCAGCCACAUUGGAACUGAGACACGGUCCAAACUCCUACGGGAGGCAGCAGUGGGGAAUUUUACACAAUGGGCGAAAGCCUGAUGUAGCAACGCCGCGUGGAGGAUGAAGGAUUUAGGUUCGUAAACUCCUUUUAUAAGGGAAGAAGUUUGACGGUACCUUAUGAAUAAGCACCGGCUAACUCCGUGCCAGCAGCCGCCGUAA